GGAUUUUCACAUCUCAAGCCAGCUAAGAGUAUGGGAAAUAGGACUCGUUAAAGCACAGAUAUCACACAAGUGAUUCAGAUUCACGAGGGUAACCCAGAUGAAGAUACCCCAUCAGCCUGAGUCUCUUAAAGGCCUUUAUACACAUAUGUCUACACAUAGGGAUUUGGAUUAUCUCGGGAUCCCACAUCCUCGCUGUCCCCUGUCCCCCCGCAACAUCCCCCACCAAUACCUUUCUGAAGUUUUCUAGUCCCUCCUUUUUGUUUGUGCUCCUUAAAGCCCAGCCCCAUGCCUGACUUUGGUUCCCAGUGAGCAUUGUACAUUUG
This 323-nucleotide long non-coding RNA is filed under the name Gorilla gorilla gorilla (western lowland gorilla). RNAcentral's name for it is "lncRNA (ENSGGOG00000044681.1)". The record is from RNAcentral. Lineage: Eukaryota; Metazoa; Chordata; Mammalia; Primates; Hominidae.